ACCCGCUGAACUUAAGCAUAUCAAUAAGCGGAGGAAAAGAAACCAACAGGGAUUGCCCUAGUAACGGCGAGUGAAGCGGCAACAGCUCAAAUUUGAAAUCUGGCGUCUUUGGCGUCCGAGUUGUAAUUUGCAGAGGGCGCUUUGGCAUUGGCAGCGGUCCAAGUUCCUUGGAACAGGACGUCACAGAGGGUGAGAAUCCCGUACGUGGUCGCUAGCCUUUACCGUGUAAAGCCCCUUCGACGAGUCGAGUUGUUUGGGAAUGCAGCUCUAAAUGGGAGGUAAAUUUCUUCUAAAGCUAAAUACUGGCCAGAGACCGAUAGCGCACAAGUAGAGUGAUCGAAAGAUGGAAAGCACUUUGGAAAGAGAGUUAAAAAGCACGUGAAAUUGUUGAAAGGGAAGCGCUUGCAGCCAGACUUGCCUGUAGUUGCUCAUCCGGGUUUCUACCCGGUGCACUCUUCUAUAGGCAGGCCAGCAUCAGUUUGGGCGGUUGGAUAAAGGUCUCUGUCAUGUACCUCUCUUCGGGGAGAACUUAUAGGGGAGACGACAUACUACCAGCCUGGACUGAGGUCCGCGCAUCUGCUAGGAUGCUGGCGUAAUGGCUGU
This 603-nucleotide ribosomal RNA is filed under the name uncultured fungus. RNAcentral's name for it is "eukaryotic LSU rRNA". It matches the Rfam family "Eukaryotic large subunit ribosomal RNA", at positions 23 to 641 of the family's 3401-position model. The record is from RNAcentral. Lineage: Eukaryota; Fungi.